This 461-nucleotide ribosomal RNA is filed under the name uncultured bacterium. RNAcentral's name for it is "partial 16S ribosomal RNA". It matches the Rfam family "Bacterial small subunit ribosomal RNA", at positions 331 to 792 of the family's 1533-position model. The record is from RNAcentral.
CCAGACUCCUACGGGAGGCAGCAGUGGGGAAUAUUGCACAAUGGGGGAAACCCUGAUGCAGCGACGCCGCGUGAGUGAAGAAGUAUUUCGGUACGUAAAGCUCUAUCAGCAGGGAAGAAAAAAAGUCCUUUGGACUUUGGACGGUACCUGACCAAGAAGCCCCGGCUAACUACGUGCCAGCAGCCGCGGUAAUACGUAGGGGGCAAGCGUUAUCCGGAUUUACUGGGUGUAAAGGGAGCGUAGACGGCAGCGCAAGUCUGGAGUGAAAGCCCGUGGCUCAACCGCGGAACUGCUUUGGAAACUGUUAAGCUGGAGUACUGGAGAGGCAAGCGGAAUUCCUAGUGUAGCGGUGAAAUGCGUAGAUAUUAGGAGGAACACCAGUGGCGAAGGCGGCUUGCUGGACAGAGACUGACGUUGAGGCUCGAAAGCGUGGGGAGCAAACAGGAUUAGAUACCCUCGUA